UCCGGUUGAUCCUGCCGGACCCGACCGCUAUUUGGGUGAGGAUAAGCCAUGCGAGUCGAAUGGGAUACCUAAACUUCCCAUGGCAAACUGCUCAGUAACACAUGAUCAACUUACCCUAUAGUGAGAAAUACCCUCGGGAAACUGAGGAUAAUGACUCAUAGUUGAAAAGGCUUGGAAAAGUUUUUCAGUAAAAGGAUAUGAAAAAUGGUUCCUAUCCGCUAUAGGAUAGGAUCGUGCUCGAUUAUGGUUGUUGGUGAGGUAAAGGCUCACCAAGCCGAUAAUCGAUAGGGGCCGUGAGAGCGGGAGCCCCGAGAUGGGUACUGAGACAACGACCCAGGCCUUACGAGGCGCAGCAGGCGCGAAACCUCCGCAAUAUACGAAAGUGUGACGGGGUUACCCAAAGUGUUCAUUUAUGGACUGUGGUAGGUGAGUAAUGUCCCCUACUAGAAAGGAGAGGGCAAGGCUGGUGCCAGCCGCCGCGGUAAAACCAGCUCUUCAAGUGGUCGGGAUAUUUAUUGGGCUUAAAGUGUCCGUAGCCGGUUUAGCAAGUUCCUGGUAAAAUCGGGUAGCUUAACUAUCUGUAUGCUAGGAAUACUGUUAUACUAGAGGGCGGGAGAGGUCUGAGGUACUACAGGGGUAGGGGUGAAAUCUUAUAAUCCUUGUAGGACCACCAGUGGCGAAGGCGUCAGACUGGAACGCGCCUGACGGUGAGGGACGAAAGCCAGGGGAGCGAACCGGAUUAGAUACCCGGGUAGUCCUGGCCGUAAACGAUGCAUACUAGGUGAUGGCAAGGCCAUGAGCCGUGUCAGUGCCGUAGGGAAACCGUUAAGUGUGCCGCCUGGGAAGUACGGUCGCAAGGCUAAAACUUAAAGGAAUUGGCGGGGGAGCACCACAAGGGGUGAAGCCUGCGGUUCAAUUGGAUUCAACGCCGGA
This 933-nucleotide ribosomal RNA is filed under the name uncultured archaeon. RNAcentral's name for it is "bacterial SSU rRNA". It matches the Rfam family "Archaeal small subunit ribosomal RNA", at positions 1 to 922 of the family's 1478-position model. The record is from RNAcentral.